GUGGAUUAGAUACCCUAGUAGUCCUGGCAGUAAACGGUGCACGUUUGGUGUGGGAGGAUUCGACCCCUUCCGUGCCGGAGCUAACGCGUUAAACGUGCCGCCUGGGGAGUACGGUCGCAAGAUUAAAACUCAAAGAAAUUGACGGGGGCCCGCACAAGCGGUGGAGUAUGUGGCUUAAUUCGAUGCAACGCGAAGAACCUUACCUAGCCUUGACAUGCAUCUCUAAGUCGGUGAAAGCCGGCGAGUGUAGCAAUACACAAUUUGCACAGGUGCUGCACGGCCGUCGCCAACU
RNAcentral lists this ribosomal RNA (292 nucleotides) under uncultured bacterium. Its description in RNAcentral is "partial 16S ribosomal RNA". It matches the Rfam family "Bacterial small subunit ribosomal RNA", at positions 773 to 1060 of the family's 1533-position model. The record is from RNAcentral.